AAUAAUAUUAUCAAAAAAUCGCGUAUAAUUUCAAGAAUAAGGCUUGAUAGUUUCUACCGGCUAGCCGAAAACUGGCCGACUACGGGGUAGCAUGAUAACUAU
This 102-nucleotide non-coding RNA is filed under the name Selenihalanaerobacter shriftii. RNAcentral's name for it is "Guanine sequence". It matches the Rfam family "Purine riboswitch aptamer". From Rfam's summary of the family: Riboswitches are metabolite binding domains within certain messenger RNAs that serve as precision sensors for their corresponding targets. Allosteric rearrangement of mRNA structure is mediated by ligand binding, and this results in modulation of gene expression. A class of riboswitches that selectively recognises guanine and becomes saturated at concentrations as low as 5 nM. Lineage: Bacteria; Bacillati; Bacillota; Clostridia; Halanaerobiales; Halobacteroidaceae. The record is from Rfam by way of RNAcentral.